AAUCUGGAUAGAAUUCCAAAUAAUUCAUGUAGAUACUAUGCCACAAGCAAAUGCAGAACAACUCCCCAUUCCUUAAUUGUAGGCUGUGAGUAGUUACUUCUUUAUAAAAAGUAUUGAAGGAAAGGCAGAAAAGUAACUUUAGAAGGGAGAUACCUGACAAAUACUACCUCAAUCAAGUGACUGAAUUUGACAUCAACAGUGACAGGUCAGGUUAGAAUAUACUCUUGAUGUGAUCUGAUGUGGAGGGCACUUCACCUCUGUGGGCUUCCUCCCUAGAUCCAUAAUUCCAUUCUGAUCAUUAGAUGAGUGAUCAGACAAAUUCUAAUUGAGGGGCAUACACCUCAAAACCAGAGGAAGUCAGAGAAACUGUCACACUCAUCAAGACACAAUGACUAAAUGCAAUGUGGCAUGCUUGGUUGAAGCCUGAAACAGAAAAGGAUUUGGUAAAAACUAAUUUGAAUAAUGUACGGAUCUCAGUUACUAGUAAUGUACUAAAGUUGAUUCAUUUAUUACGACAAAUGUACCAUACUGCCCUAAUAUCCUUGUAAGAUAUGAAUAAUGUGGGAAUGAGCUGUUAUAGGAUACUAUAACUUUGUACUAUUUUUGUAAUGUUUCUGUAAAUCUAAAAUCAUUUAUAUUUUUUCCAAAAAAUCAACCAUAACUUUGUCACUUUAAGAGAGAUGACAACUUCUCAUUUCUGUUCAUUUUCCAAAUUCUGACAGGGUAGCUUUUCUAAGUACAAGUAUGGCAAAAAAAAAAAAAAAACUCUUGUUUCAAUACUAACUGGCAUAGUACCUACUGCCUAUGGAU
RNAcentral lists this long non-coding RNA (810 nucleotides) under Marmota monax (woodchuck). The record is from RNAcentral. Lineage: Eukaryota; Metazoa; Chordata; Mammalia; Rodentia; Sciuridae.